AGACACAUCAAACCGAUGGAGUGAAGCAUCUGCAAAGGAAGUAUCGGUGAGUUUGGAACUUCUUCUAGGGAUUUUCUAUACAGAAGAAUGCAUACUACUCUAGCCUAAUCAUGUAAUAGCAUCUUGACAAAUAACUUAGGGCAGUUGUUGAUUAAAGAGGGGGAAAUCAACAAAAGCUUUGGGCGUUAUGCACCAAGGAGAAGAAAAUGCUGCAGGGGGGCAUUUUAUAUUUGCAAACAGAAGAUUAAAAUGUACCAAGUAAUUACCAUUGCUUACAAAAGGUAUGUCAUAGUCCUCAUCGACCAUUGUCAAGGAUGCUUGCUUUAAUAACACUGAUCCUGGAAAUUCUUCUGCAGCGGUAGCCGGGCAAUGGAGCAUGAUUGAACCUGGUAUGUCAUUUGCAGCGGUGCUUACAUGGUAUUGUUCGGAGCCAGAACCAAGGUAAACACUGAUGUCAAUAGACGCAUCCUGGGAGAGUACGAUGCACAUAAUGAUAUCAGAUGACAGAUUAUAGACCAACUGAAGUAUAAAGCAUAGAGGAAAAUUUGGGCCACCUUUGAAUGUAUUUUGUGUUCAUGUUUUGAAAGAGAUGGUAAGGGCCCUCCCAUUCAUUAAAAAGAGAUGGCAGGGAACAAAGCACAACUUUUGCAAACAAAGGAAAGAGUAUAUUCUACUAUGGUAGUGCCAGUUUGAGCAAUCCCCCUGGUUUCAAGGAAACGAGGAAAGUAAAGAAGAAACUAGCUACAUGCCUUAAUACUUGCUCUAUUUUUUCCCGAAAAGAAAACUCCCCUCGGGCUUCAUAGCCAGAGUAUAACAAGACAGUUCUAUACUAAAGUAAUUUUGAUAAAAUGUACUACAACAUCACAAAAUUAGUAUGGUACCGAGUAAGAUUAGGAAUAAUGACAAUUCGCUCUGGAGGAUAUAAAAGUAGCUGAAUUGCAUUACAAAUAUACUUUUGCAGGAGCUAUUGUAUAACAGCAUUACUUACUUCUUCAUUUGGCGUCACUCG
RNAcentral lists this long non-coding RNA (1009 nucleotides) under Hordeum vulgare. RNAcentral describes it as "long non-coding RNA (HVUL_LNC011841)". The record is from RNAcentral. Lineage: Eukaryota; Viridiplantae; Streptophyta; Magnoliopsida; Poales; Poaceae.